Molecule: long non-coding RNA, 1671 nt
Organism: Gallus gallus (chicken)
Lineage: Eukaryota; Metazoa; Chordata; Aves; Galliformes; Phasianidae
Source: Ensembl
GGAACCGACCACUUCAGAGGCAGAAGAAACUUACUGUCUGCAAAUUCUUGUUCUGCUGCAUUGCCCAAUGAGGCUCUGAAAGAUAUAGUCCUGCAGAUUAUUGGAGAAAACAAGGGUGUUUGUGAACUUUUCCACCUCUUGGGAUCUCUGUGUAGGACAAGGAAGAUGAGCUGAUGGGCAAGGAGGCCAGACUAGCUGAACAGAGACCUUUGGCUUGAACUCAAGAACAAAAGGAAGGUUUAUGGUCUUUGGAAGAGCGGGCAAGCUACUUACGAUGAUUACAGAAAGGACAAGAUCUUCCAUUCUUCCACUCUAGGAGGAUUCCUCCUUGUCACCUCAGUUAAGGCAACUGGAAGACCGUGGUUCAGAGCUUCACUGUCACCAAAUCACAAGGAGCAUGUUGCAAGGCAGUAAAACCUGGUACCUUGUGAGCAGUGAAACCAGACAUCUGAUCUUUUUGAGAAAUGUGCAGUCUAAGCCUACACAGAUAAACUCCCUUGGUUCCUGCUUGAGACCUGGCCAGGCUUCGAGUGGAAUCCAAAAGGAGGAUGACUCCAGAUGUUUCUGCACCUUAAGCUAUAAAGCAGGACUGGUCUGACUGCAAGGGAAACAAUCACUUUAGGGUUGAGGAAGACCACACACAAACCUGGUGGUAGGCCCACUUGGAGACAGGAUCUCAAGACACAAGCAAAUACUGUUCUAUUUUUCAGACUUUUGUGAUUCAUGGAGAAUGUUACUAUUCUUCUGGCUUUAAACAGCAAUACUUCCACUUUUACAAGACCUAACUUGUGUGAUGUUGUGCACCAAAAUAUUUCUAGAAAGUAGUUUUAAAGGAGCAGUGUCCCAGAUGUCAACUUGAAAGCAGCUCUUGAAGCAUUAUGAAAGAACUUUGGAAUCUCCAGAUGAAAAGACCUAGCUCAUUCUACUUCCAGAAACAAGACAUGGCCAUGGUCAAAAGGAUGAAAAUUGCACAGAGGAGAGUGAAAAGUUUGGGGUCCAGAGAGGCUCUCCCCAAGCUCAUGAAAUAUGUCUGGAUGUUAAAGCCAAGACUGAAGAAAAGAGAGCAGGCAAGGAUAAAGAUCUCUAAAAAAGAAAAGCAUAAUGAGAGAGCAGCAGAUGUGUAAAUAUCAUUGUGAUGUGUCUGUUUCACUAUGACUGGUUUUCUAGAAAAUACUCAGGAGAUGAAUUUCAGUUCUGGCACCAAACUCUGCAGACUAUCAAACAGCCUUGCCAAGAGGAAGCUACACCAUUCUGGGAGCUUGAUGUAUUGUGAAGGGCUUCUGGGUGGCUUGGCAGCAACUUUGCUGAAGCGCAGUUGAUUAUGCUGUGUUCAGACAGGAUUUUUGAGUAGUCUUGUUAACCUUCUCUCUAAAAUAAUUGGAAACUGAAUAUUAAAAAAUGAACUUGAGUUACUAACUAUUCAUCUGUUCACAACUUGUAAGUUGUCCUACUCUUCCAUUUUUAAACCUUUCUCUUAAAAUGAGAUGAAGUCUUAUAAGAGUGAGUCUUCUCAAUUUUACAUAGACUAGCAGGAAGGUGCAGGGGAAAGAGGAUUUGUGAGUUUUGCAGAACUGCCACUCUCAGUAUCUGAGCUGCCUCCAGUAUCAAAUUCUGGAAUAACUUUAGUGAAUUUCUUCACAUUUCUGUUGAUGCUUGAGAGAAGAACUAGGG